AGUGAACGCUGGCGGUAGGCCUAACACAUGCAAGUCGAACGGAAGCACAGUAAGAGUUUGCUCUUACGGGUGGCGAGUGGCGGACGGGUGAGGAAUACAUCGGACUCUACUUUUUCGUGGGGGAUAACGUAGGGAACCUUACGCUAAUACCGCAUACGACCUACGGGUGAAAGCAGGGGAUAUUCGGACCUUGCGCGACUGAAUGAGCCGAUGUCGGAUUAGCUAGUUGGCGGGGUAAAGGCCCACCAAGGCGACGAUCCGUACCUGGUCUGAGAGGAUGAUCGGCCACACUGGAACUGAGAACCGGUCCGAACUCCAACGGGAGCCGGCAGUGGGGAAUAUUGGACAAUGGGCGCAGGCCUGAUCCAGCAAUACCGCGUGGGGGAAGAAGGCCUUCGGGUUGUAAAGCCCUUUUGUUGGGAAAGAAGAGCAGCAGGUUAAUACCCCGCUGUUCUGACGGUACCCAAAGAAUAAGCAACGGCUAACUUCGUG
Molecule: ribosomal RNA, 492 nt
Filed under: uncultured bacterium
Lineage: Bacteria
Description: partial 16S ribosomal RNA
Rfam family: Bacterial small subunit ribosomal RNA
Source: RNAcentral